CUUCGGGCUAGAAAGCGAAGGUUGGGUAAAAUGUGAAUCCAACUGGUUGAUUUAUAAUAAUUCAGGAAGCAGAUUCUAAUAGUCCCAAAAUUCAAUUAAAUUAGCCGUGAAAUCUAGAAAUAUUUCUUUUGUGUUUGUAGUUAUAUUUUAGUUUGAAUCUUUUUUUUUUUUUUUUUAGGAAUUUAGAGAAGCCUAAAAAUAAAGGAUCAGGAGGUGCACCCGGACAUCUCAACUAGGUUGACACCCCUUAGCACCAUCAUCAUAUCCCAUAGAAUUAUACAGUGAGAAUAAUAGAGAAGCCUAAAAAUAGAGGAUCAAGAGGCACACCCAGACAUCACAACUAGGUUGACACCCCCUUAGCACCAUCAUCAUAUCCCAUAGAAACAAACGGAGAACAUAUAGGUACCAAAUAAACUAGAAGGCAGCCUUUUUAGUAUUUUUAAAACACAAUUUGAAGUAAAUACUCUAUAAAUAGAGGGUUAAUCUAUUGUAUUGGACACUUUAAAAUCAUAAUAAAGAUUGAAGGAAUCCCUCAAUUGUCUCCAAGUAAAAGUUAUCCAAAACAUUCGGACUCAGGGGGAAUUCCUUCAAUCAUCC
RNAcentral lists this long non-coding RNA (597 nucleotides) under Cucumis sativus (cucumber). RNAcentral describes it as "long non-coding RNA (CSAT_LNC000688)". The record is from RNAcentral. Lineage: Eukaryota; Viridiplantae; Streptophyta; Magnoliopsida; Cucurbitales; Cucurbitaceae.